Molecule: small nuclear RNA, 104 nt
Organism: Pteronotus mesoamericanus
Lineage: Eukaryota; Metazoa; Chordata; Mammalia; Chiroptera; Mormoopidae
Source: RefSeq, a predicted model, not a curated record
GUGUUUGCUUUGGAAGCACAUAUACUAAAAUUGGAAUGAUACAGAGAUUAGUGUGGUUGCUGUGCAAGGUUGACAUGCAAAUUCAUGAAGUGUUCAAUAUUUUU